AACGAACGCUGGCGGCAGGCUUAACACAUGCAAGUCGAACGCCCCGCAAGGGGAGUGGCAGACGGGUGAGUAACGCGUGGGAACAUACCCUUUUCUACGGAAUAGCUCUGGGAAACUGGAAUUAAUACCGUAUACGCCCUACGGGGGAAAGAUUUAUCGGGGAAGGAUUGGCCCGCGUUGGAUUAGCUAGUUGGUGGGGUAAAGGCCUACCAAGGCGACGAUCCAUAGCUGGUCUGAGAGGAUGAUCAGCCACAUUGGGACUGAGACACGGCCCAAACUCCUACGGGAGGCAGCAGUGGGGAAUAUUGGACAAUGGGCGCAAGCCUGAUCCAGCCAUGCUGCGUGAGUGAUGAAGGCCUUAGGGUUGUAAAGCUCUUUCACCGAUGAAGAUAAUGACGGUAGUCGGAGAAGAAGCCCCGGCUAACUUCGUG
Molecule: ribosomal RNA, 431 nt
Filed under: uncultured bacterium
Lineage: Bacteria
Description: partial 16S ribosomal RNA
Rfam family: Bacterial small subunit ribosomal RNA
Source: RNAcentral